AAAGUACAACAUAAAACACGAUCCGUCCUCUUAGGCUUGAAAUAAUUGAACCAUGCUAAAACAACUCAAAAAAGUUUAGACCUAAAACCUAAGAGUAUUUGCACCGGAUGACUGAUUGGUUGGCUGAUUUGCUAAUAUCAAUCAUUUCAUCAAUGCAUCGGGGACUUAUUGGCCGACUAAUUUGUAUGGCCCGCACGAAUAGUAACUGUCUAGGCAAUUGAGUUAUUGAUUCUUGCCUAUGGUUUUGCCCGACCAAUUUGGUGGGUGCCACAACUGCUGCCACAAGGAGAAGGUAUUUAUAAGCCAUGUGUUGUGCAACGGUAGUUUAAUUAUGGGACAAUGCCCACUAGCUCUAAUUUUAAGAAUUUUAUUCCUGCUAACAUAAUCAAGAUUUAAAAUUCCCAAGCCAACUUAAAUAGCAGAAAGACAAUUAUACCUUUAAUGAAUUAAAUAAACUACAAUAAACUAUUAUAAGAGCAGAAAUACAAUUAUACCCUUAAUGAAUUAAAUAACUACAAUAGAACAUUAUAAGAGUUUUUAUAACCGGAUUCUCACGACCAAUGACGUUGACCGGACUCCGGCAAUCUUUGACCAGGCUCCGAGGACCGUUAACCGGACUCCGAGGGCCGAUGACUGGACUCCGGGGACCGUUGACCGGGCUUUAGGGACCGUUGUCCGGACUUUCGGGGGCCUUUGACCGGACUCCGGCGACCGUUGACGGGGCUCCGGGGACCGUUGUGCUUUAGUCACUUAUAACAGGUCCCUAUUGAGGGCAAUAUGACCACCUAUUGGGGCAGUAGGACCACCUACUGAGGGCAGUAGGACCUCCUAUUAGGGUUAGUAAGACCUCUCCUACUAGGGUCAGUAGGACCUCCUGUUGGGGGUAGUAGGAUCUUCUACUGGGGACAGUAUGACCCUUGAACUUAACUGUGUGCUUCAGUCACUUAUAAUAGGUCUCUAUUGGGAGCAGUAUGACCACCUAUUGGAGGUAGUAUGAUCUCUUAUUAGGGACAGUAAGACUCUUGAACUUAACUGUGUGCUUCAGUCACUUAUAACAGGUCUCUAUUGAGGGUAGUAUGAUCGCCUAUUGAGGUCAGUAAGACCUCCAAAUCAAUCAAAGACAUCCAAUCCCUUCAAUAACAAGUACCUAAAAAGAGAACUAACACAAAUUCUUAGCACAUGAUCUUAGUUUCACAAUUCAUAAACUAUUAUCAUAAACAAAGAUUUUUUUUUCAAUAUUUGAAAUUAGUUGGAUGAAAUCAAAGAUGCAAAAAUUGAUAAGAAGAUGGUUCGUUGACCAUAGUGGAAAAAUAUGAAAUCACAUAAGUAAAUGAGUAAACAAUGAAUAUGUUAUCAUCAUCAACAUCCGUUGUGUGUGUGGGGAUAAUUAUGGAACCCAACAAGGAUUCAUAUAGAAAAACCCAACUGAUUCAAUUCUCACUCUUCACUAAUCAAGAAAAGAAGACCCAAUAGUAGUCGAUAGAGAAUGCCUUUUUUUUUUUUGAGAAUGAUAGAGAAGGCCUUGAGUUUACGACUUCUACACCAAAUUGUACCAUGCUUGCGUGGUUUUGAAGAUGAGUGAACGAGAAUAAUGGCCAGUAUCCAACUGAAACCCAUUACCAAAUUCGUCAACAAACCCCGACUAAGAAACCAAACUCCGUUGCGAAAUCCAUCAAGGUUUAACCCGAUUCCCGACCCCAAUUCCUUCUUCUACCUUUCCCGAUUUUGUUGUUUGGAUUGACAGCGCUUGGUUCAGACGUCGUCGGAGGUUAGCUGGUUCAGAUCUCGUCACAGGGCUUGAAUCAGACGUCAUCAGAGGCAGCUGUCUCGUCGGUAGCAGGCUGGAGAGAGAGAGAGAGAGAGAGAGAGAGAGAGAGAGAGAGAGAGAGAGAGAGAGAGAGAGAGAGAGAGUAGUAGUAGUAGUAGUAUAUANNNNNNNNNNNNNNNNNNNNAGAGAGAGAGAGAGACGUGAGCAGAUCUAGAUUUAGAUAUGAAAUAUGAAAGUUUGGAGAGGAGAUAGGAAAUUUGAGGGAGAGGUAUUUUAGACAACAAAAAUACGGAAAACCUGAAAACUUUGUUAGUGAAAAUAUGUCUUUUAAGAGUGUUUGGGUUUAUGAAAAUUUUGGAAUCUUAUUUUGUUAGUAGAAAAAAAUCCUCAGAUUUAGGGUUAGUGAGAAUUUUCUUUUUAAUUAUAGCUGUUUGAUUGAUAUCUAACGGCUAUGAUUAAAUUACAACGAUAAUUCUUUUUUUUUUGAAAAAUAAAAUAAUUAUAAAAAUUUCUAUUCAUACCUCCAAAAAUGGCAAUUUGGACCUCCUUAACAUUUUUGUAACUUUAGAAAUCCAUUUUUACUCUUGAUUUAUAGAAUUAAUUAAGACAAAAAAAAAUUCAACUCAUUUGCACAUAUUUUUUUCCAGGGUUUGUUCACUUGCAUCUUUUUUGUUGUCAAAAGAAUUAAGAUCUGAAAUGCUGAAAUACUAUCUGGUUCUUGAUCGAUCUGGUUAUACCUUUCCUAUUUAUAAUGGUAACAACAAAAAGUGGGUCGAUGAUCCCAAAUUUAAUUUCAUGUUUAUCAGGUAAUAAAACCCAUCGAGUUAAACUCUGGUGGGUUCUUGAUCAGAUCAGAAUGUGAUUUACAGGUGCGUUAAAUCUUGAAACAAUCUCAAAUGAAUCAAUCUUGACUGAUUCCAUUAUUUUUCUUGCUUUGAUGCAGUGAAGCAGAGACCACUUCCUUCUUCCUCUGCCUUGAUCAAGGUUAGUACUAGUCCCAUGUUCCGGUUUGAUUUCCUUUCGUUGUUCUGAUACAGUAAGAGUCAAAACUUGUUAUCAAGGCUUAUGAUCCAGGAACUUAAACUUGUUUUCAACCUAAACUGAAGUCCCAGUUUUAUUUGUGUGUGAUACAGAACAGUAGGUACGAAUGAAUAGAUUCCCAUUUUCUUCACUUUUCUAUUUAUGCUCAAUUCCCAUACUUUGUCCAGUAGGGUAUAAAUAAUUUGAAGAAGAUUAAGUAGAAAGAAAAGGACCAACAUGAAACCAUCAGUCCAAACAAAACAGAGGCCAGACAACAGUAAUCAGAGGCCUAACUGUGAACUUAAUUUAUGAUGCAUCAGAAAAAAAUUGUAUGAAGAUAAGUUGUGAACUCCCAAGCUAGCUAAUCAGAUCAAUACUUUGAAGGCUUUGAAGGCUAGCUAUUAUGUGAAACGAAAGCAGAAGAUGAAGAAAAACAAAGAAAAAAAAUUUAAUUUAAUUUACCCCACUGUGGUUUAGAGGUGAAUUCAUGUUAGUUCCUAAACUUUCAAUUUCAUCAGAUUACUCCCAAGCUCUUGUUUUUUUGUCUGCCGUCUCCUAUCACUCAUGCUCCAUCCAAUUGGGACAUUGAAAUUGAUGAGGUCUGAUGAUGUUUGAGGGUUGAGAAGCUAAAUUACCAGAAAAACAAGAGCUCAGGGGGUAAACUGAUGAAAUUAAAAGUUUAGGGACUAACAUGAAUUCACCUCUAAAUCACAAUGGAGUAAACUGAAUUUAAUUCAAGAAAGAAAGUGCAGAGGACUUUGAAGGCUACAUUGUGCAAUCUUCAUUAAGCGAGAAGUGAAAGUUACAAGAGUGCAUAUAGAUAUAAGUUGAAAUAAUGAAAUUUCAGAACUAUCACUUCUCUAAUAUACUCCCACACUGCAAACAAGAAAUGCCUCAAAACUUAAAACCAUUUCAAAAAUCCAUCAAAAGUAAUCAAUUUAACUUUAGAAUUAAAUUCAGUUUACCCCAUAAAUCUUUGGUGCCAAAAUCAGUUCAGUCCUGUAACUUUUUUUUUUUUUAAAUUCAGUUCGCUCCUUCAACUUUCGUAAACACAUCAGUCAGUCCAAUUUUUAAAUCAGUUCGUCUCUUCAACUUUUGUAAACACAUCAGCUCGAAACACAAACCUAAGAAAGAAAUACAUUAUAACGAGAUCUUGUAGCACUUACCAAUGAGGCCCUAUUGAUUAGAAUGACAGAAGAAAUCAAUUAUAGACACUAAUAUAAUUAGAUCUGCUAUUCAUUGACAAGCUUGGGAUUUGCGAUCCCAAGUAAUAUCGGUAUAACAUAAUGCGUAAGGACAACAUGAUGUUAGCCCCAAUACUGCUCUAAAAAGGAAGAGAUAAGGACUAAGUUCCGAAUCCCCUCUGCCGCCUUGUGUUUCUCGGCUGCCUCCUAUGCUGAAUGUCUCUAGCUACAAACCAGUCAUGGUUCUUGUCUGUCCAAAAGUGCCUCCCAACUACUCCAACUAUUAGACCAGUAACAACUCCUGGCAGUACCAUAAACCAAUCUAGCUCAAUUUGAAACUCAGAGUCUUCAUCUUGUUCAAAGGUUGUUUGAGGUGUUGCUCUCUCGGAAUCUUCACAUUUCUUUGGCAGAGGUUUUCCACACACACCUGAGUUUCCUUGGUAUAUUUUCUCAUGGAAUGUAUCAAAUUGUUGACCAAGUGGGAUAGGACCAUAAAGCCGAUUGUGGGAUACGUUGAAGUGUGCAAGGAAUGUCAGUUGUGCUAGAUCACUGGGGAUCUUUCCUGAGAGCUGAUUUUGGAAGAGCCAUUAAGUUCCUCAAAGAAGAGGGGACGGGACCAGUGAGAGUGUUGUUGGAAAGACUGAGCAGAUUAAGCGCUCUUAGGUUCCCAAUGAUACCUGGAAUCUCUCCUUCAAAUCUGUUACUUGAGAAGUCUAUGAGCCUCAGAAGAUAAGGGGUCUUGAAAUACUUCAAUUUGACACCUUUGCUGAAAACUGUAAUCGUGUAAUCAUAGUAGACCGAGUCUGAAUUCAACCCUUUGAAGUUGACGUGGGAUUGGAAGUAUUUUCUCUCUUUUGCAUCAACAGAUUUCAUGGAAUUCCAGUUCUCUAUGUAGUCGGAGGGCAACAUACCUUAAAAUUCAUUGCUAGAUAAAUCAAUGAUGGACAGCCCAGAAAACUCUUGAGUACUUGCCGGCUUCUCAAUUAUGCCAUGAAAUGCAUUGGACCACAAACUGAGAACUUUUCAUUGUUGAAGCACUCCUAACCAAGCUGGGAAAGUAUCACUGAUCUGAUUAUUUCCCACAUUAAGAAACAUCAAGUCAGGACAAUGGGCAAUUGAUCUUGGUAGCUUCCUUUGUAGCUGAUUAUAACUUAAGUCAAUCCCUUCUAACCAGCUGCAUGUGUUAGAACCCAUUCGAGGAAUAUCCCCGUGAAAAGAAUUGUUCCACAGUUUCAAUAGCUGAAGAACUCCGAAAUUCUCAAAGCAUUGGGGAAUUAUGCCAUUCAGGUUGUUGUUAGACAAAUCAAGAAUAGUUAGGUUCACCGUGUUGUAGAAUGUUGCUGGAAUUUCUCCUGCAUAUUCAUUGCUUGAAACAGAAUAUAUAUGCAGUGUCGACGCUGGAACUGGCAGUGAUCCUCGUAACAUGUUAGAGUUGAGCUCUAAAGUGAUUAACCGAGCCCAUGGAAGAAUGACUGGAUUUCCUUCAAAUCCAGUUAAGCAGUUGUGAGAGAGGUUGAGAUUCAACAAAGUUUCACUAGUUGAGUUCCACAACCAUUUUGGUAUUUGGUCCUGAAGAUUGUUGUUAGACAGAUCAAGUUGCCACAGUCCACUACUAUAUUUCAAAAAUUCUGGAAAAUCUGUUAAGUUGCAUGAACCCAAUCCUAGUUCUUUAAGCUCUGGAGCAGUAAAUCCAGUUUUGAAAUCCACAGAUAACUUCUUGAACGACAAACUAAGUCCCUUCAACUUUUCGAGCUUGGAGAACUCAUCCAAUACAACAGACCCACUCAAGUUAUUUGAGUCGAGGUGUAUAUAUUCAAGAUUUCUAAGCUCGAAUAGUGACCUGGGAGUUUCUCCUUGCAGAUUGUUCGAGUGUAUGUCUAAAAAAGUUAACUGGGUCAACUACCCAUGGCAAGAUGGGAUUCGACCAGUUAUUUGGUUGAAGCCCAAGUAUAACUCUGAAAGUUGUGUCACGUUAGCCAAACAACAUGGGAGUUCACCAGUUAUUUGAUUCAUGAGCAAGUAUAAUUUUGAAAGUUGAGUCAGACUAACCAAAGAACAUGGGAUUGCAGCAGUUAUUUGAUUUUCACUCAAGUCUAAUUGCUUAAGUUGCGUAUGAUUAGCCAAAAAAUCUGGGAAAUCUCCCCUUAAGUUGCUUGAACGAAGGGUCAAGUAGUUAAGUUUGGUUAGCUUUCCAACCCAAGACCAGGAAUCAGUAACUUGGCCACUGAAAGUACUCGAGUCGAAAAAAGAAGAAAUAUCAAGGAAAUUUAGCUCGGUAAGGUUGGAAAGUGAAGAUGGAACAUGGGGAUAAAACAGACAUUAUGCUAUGUUCAACACAUUUAAGGCACGAAGGUUUUCGAUUGAAGCUGGUAGAUGACCAGAGAAAUGGCUGUGGAAAAUAUUGAGUACCUUCAAGGGACUGCUCUUGUUAAACGUAUCAGGAAAAUAGCCUUUUAAAUCCUCUUUAGAGCACAAAUCAAGUACUUGCAAGUUUGGUAGGUGGAAAAUGCCUACUGGGAACUGCCCCUCCAAAUUACAUGCUCCAAGAACGAGAGAUGUCAGAGAAGACGCAUUCACCAAUGUGCUAGGCACUGUCGAGGAUAUAUCUACCCAACUAAGAUGAAGUUGUUUUAUGUGGGUUAAGUUCUGAACUAGGCUUCCGAAGUUGGCCAUUUUGAGAUGAGACUCGUAAGUAGUAGACAGAUCAAGGGCAGACAGCUUGGAUAGAUAUGAAAUUUCUGAUGGGAUUUGGCCAGAAAAUGAAGACAUUGAAAGGUUGAGAUAAGUUAGACUAGUAAGAGCAUCGCCUAACCUGGAUGGUAUUUGAGAGAAGCUGAAGUUAUUGUCUGAGAGGUCAAGCCUCUGCAACUGAACAAUUUGAAAAAGACUGCUGCUGGAGUUGAUGGAACCAUGAAGAUAGCUGCUGGCAAGGUCAAGGCCAACAACAUUGUUAGGACCCACCCCGAAUUUCACCUUGAAAUCCGAGGUAAAUCCUGCGGGGUCCACCUUCAAGGAAAAUUUACCGAAAAUUCAGCAUAACCUUCUUUGAAAAUGGACUAACUUAACACUUCUAUAAUCAAACAUCUAUCCUCAUCUCCUGGAGCCUUCCUGCUCUCCAAGUUCAUCAAAACUCCCAAUAACAAUUUUUCUCAUCUAACAAUUCCACAACCAACAACAAAGACAUUUAAUAAGCUACUACUGGACUUUCAGCGCAUAUCUAAUGAUGAAUGAAAACAAUGAAAACGAAUAAGCGGAAGCAGCCUUUAACUAUGCCUCAACUCCAUGUACGCUCGUCCUCAAAUAACUUAGCCUGCAAACUGGGCAUUUAUAAACCAAAGGGCCCAGGGGAAAGUAAUUUAAAAACGUUAAAGUGAGUGGACGAAAAUAAAUUCAAUAACUUAACAAUUAUAAAACUUAUAUACUUUCCCACUUUUUAACUUUUAAAACUUAAAAGCAUGCAACUUAAACGUCUUUAAAACUUUAAAUCCAAAAUCACUUAAUAAAGGACAGAUCAGCCCCGCUGGUUAGUUAAAACAGAAAUCUCAUAAGAGGAGAUAAACCAGCCCCGUUGGUUAAUCAAAUAUAUUAUUGAGAAGAAUAAAAUAGGGGAAGAGUUAUCACCAUGAAAAAGGAGCCUCCCAGGCUCGGGUCGAUGCCUCCCAGGCUAUAAUAGCGUCUCACGCUAAGCGCUCAACUCACAUAUGAUAAGGACCACUAAAUAAAGCUAUAAUAGCGUCCCGCGCUAAGUGCUCAACUCAUAUAUGAUGAGGACCACUAAUAAGGCUAGCUAACUAAUAAAUAUAAAUACCGAUCGGUUGCCUCCCAGGCUAUAAUAGCGACUCACAUAUGAUGAGGACCGCUAAUAAGGUUAGCUAGCAUUAAUCAAGAUAAACGACCCUAUAAUAUGGUGACUAAAACAUACGAAGUCUCUAAAAUCCAUUAAACUUCCCCAAUAACAAAUGAAUGGUACGGUUCCCAACCGUAUUUGAAAAUCAUCAUAAGAAAUUUUACUAAAACUCAAUGACGUGUCUCACACGUCAAAAUAUUCUCGAAACCAUUUUAUAGCGAGAUUUCAAUAUCAAAUAUAAAUCAUAAAUAACAAUAUCUCCACUCGAAAAUACUCGCUAAAAUAUUCUCAAAGUCAAACUCAUUAUGCCUUAAAUAAACAAUUAAAUUAUGAGGAGAACUACCGACAGUCCCAUUUUCGGUAAUCAUUUAUAAAAAUCAAAGUCAAGAUCGAUGUUCCACCAAUGAUUUCGAGAAUUAAAAAUAGGAAACUACCGAAAAUCCCAUUUUCGGAAAUCUUAUAUAAAUCUCAAAAUCCACCAUUAAAACCAUUUAAUGAAAUCCGGAAUUUAUAAAAAUAUCCAAACUCAAAUAUCAAAAUAAUAAUCCGAGCUCAACUCCAUAAAUCAUGACCAACACUUAAUAAAUGCACCAAACUCAAAUAAUUUUCAAGCUCAUCUCAUGAACUGAAAAAUUAUAUUAUAUGCUCGGAAAAUAAAAUGAUAGAUUAUAAAAUCUUGCAUGCAUACUUAUUUUUAAAACCAAAAUGUCCACUCACAAAUUUAGGCAUAAGCCCAACGAUAACCGCAACGCCACUCAAGCGAGGUUCUUUUCGCAUCCUGGCACAACAACCAUGCUUAGAACCAAACUUCAAUUCCAGAAAAUAAAUACGUGAAUUAAAAUAUCUAACUCUCCUCUGUUUAACCCUCUACUCUUAAUAGGGUUAAACUCGCCGGAUUCACACCAAACUCCACCACAACCUUAAUUCAUCAAUUCUAACAUUCUAUAAUAAAUACCAAGGAAAUCCAACGGUCGGAUUUUCAUUCUAAUAACCGGCAUUUUCUCCAAUCUCCGAAAAAUUCCAAACCUAACCAAAACUCAUCCAAAAAUUCUAAAAUAUACUUCAAUCAACUCCUCUUAUUAAAACCAUCUGAAAAACAUGAAAAACUGCUCUUAAGGGGCGGCGGCGGCGGCGGCGGGCAGCCGUUUUCCGGCGACCUCCAAUGCUUCUCAAAUUUUCACAGAAUAUUCCUCUCAUCAUGCUCAACAACAUUCAUAACUAGCACUUAGUCCAUUUCUAAAGCUAACUAGGGCAAUCAAACCAAAACAUCCAUAAAUCCCUAAAACUUCAAUUAUACAUUUCUCUAUAACCACAACGAGAUAGACUAAUUCCUUUUGAGGGAUUACUCACCUUGAUGAGGGCUACAAGAUGAGCCUAAGAUUUCGACCUAUGGCGGCCGGAGGUGGGAUUUCCGGCAAAAAGCUUCCCGGCGUCUCCGGCAGGUUUUCUCCUCUUCCGGCGGGCUAACGGCUGGGGGCUAGGCCGGGUUGGGAGAGGAGGUGGCGGGGGGUCCGGGCAGAGGUGGUCCGGCAGUCCCUGGCGGCCAGACGGCAGCGGACAGAGGCUCUUCUCCGGCGGGUCAAGUUGCACGGGUGAGGGAGGGAGAGAAAGUGACGGUGAGGGAGAGAGGGAGAGAGAGGAAAUGAGGGGGAAGGGUUUUGGGCUGCUCCAUAGCCGGCCCAGCUAUAAACCCAACCAAAAAAUAAUACCCAUUAAUAAUUACCCCCUUUCUGCAACUCAAAAUUUACUCUUUUAAUAAUAACUUUUUCAUGCUAACUCCGAUUUUAACACAUAGCAUGUCUACGAACUCGUAUUAACGUCCUCUACAACUUUCAUGAAGAAAGUUUCCCCAAAUUCCAAAUGGAAAAGAAAGUCAACUUUAGGGUACUUAAGGGGUAACCGGUUACUUAACACAGUAAAAGACCAAAAUAAUACCAAAGUAAAUAACCGUAAAAUAACUUAAGAACCGGGGCGUGACAAACAUGGCCAGAGUCGUCGUUGCAUUCAACACCAUCCCAUGAACAACAGUUGCUUCUCUGAGGAUCUACUUCUACGCAACCUUCGGAUAAGCAAAGGGAUCUUGGGAAGCGGACUUGUCUAUGGUGAAACUAGCUUUGAAUUGCAACAAGGCAGAGCGCUCAUUGUCGUGGCAAAGUGUUUGGGUAUGAGCAGAAGAAAAACAGCAUGCAGCAUUCAUGAGCAACAAGAGUAUAGAAUAAUGCACCGAAAAGAAGUCACACCAAGAUGAUCCAAUUCCCUUUCCCAUGAAGUAAAUAUUCUGUUUUCUUAGUAUAUGCGUAUGUAGGUACAAUGUUGCCAGAAACGCGGGACGUUCCGGUACGGGAACGCGGUACGGGUACGCGGUACGUUAGUCUUUAAGAUACGCGGUAAUCUAGGAUAUAUUAGCUAAUUUUAAUUAAAACAAAUUAAUAAAAAUAAGAUUAUAGAAACAAAAUAAAUUGAAACCCAUACCAUAAAUUUACCAUAAAUUUAUAUACCAAAAUAUCGAUCCCUUAUUGAUUCACUAGAUAAAUCACAUAACUCAUGAAAGACAAACAAGUAAAUUAAUAGAUAAAAUAAUAAGAAAAACUGUAUUUAUUUAGUUUUUUAAUUAUUUUCUGGAUAAAGAUCAGUUUAUAUUGAGAUGAUCAUGUCUUGAUUUGAUUAUGUGGAUCUUCACACCAACACCGGCAUCAAAGAAUCGAAGAUCACGUUUCAAACAAGUCCAACAACCUCCACCUUCACGUUUCAAUCAAUUACCCGCAACUCCCAUCUCCUCCUGCUAAUUCUACACCUGCUCCUUGUGAAUUUUGCACACAAAUCCUCACUNNNNNNNNNNNNNNNNNNNNNNNNNNNNNNNNNNNNNNNNNNNNNNNNNNNNNNNNNNNNNNNNNNNNNNNNNNNNNNNNUAUAUAUAUAUAUAUAUAUAUAUAUAUAUAUAUAUAUAUAGAAAAGGAUGUGAGCAUUUUUUUAUUCACGGAUGAUACAAUUGCCAAUCAUGCAGUGGUAUGUAGAAUGCACUAUGGUCUGCCAUGAUUUCUUGCUAAAUAGUUAAUAAAGUGAUAUCGUCCUCUACCUUUUUCAAAAGGGCAGAAACCGGUUGAGCAAGUUUCCUCUCCUCUUCUAUUUUUACUUCCGUUCUUAUUUUUAAUCUCUUCAAGAAAAAUUUGAAAAAUCUAUCCUCUAUUCAUGAAUUUGUUUAUUUUGACAUUUUGCAGCUAAAAUCUAUCCUCUAUACUCGAAGGUAAACAGUAAAUUUUCCAAUAUCAUAAUUUUGUUUCUUACUAGAGUACAAUUGCUUGUUAUCUGCAAAGAAACCAAAAAAGAAUUGUUAGAGGAAUAGAAACAAUUGACAAUCCUAAAAAUUUUAGAUCAACACUUGCUAAAGAAGAUCUUAAUUAUUGAGAUAAUAUUUAUUUAGUUCAGAGAAAAAUCUAUAGAAAAUAUUAGGAUUCUCAAAAAAACCCUCGAAGUAUAUCAAUAACCUUUAGAUUAUCUAAGCAUAGGAUAAAAUAGUGAUUAAUCUCAAGGAGAUUUCACUAUAUUCGAAGAGAUUUCUCUUUAUUUGUUUUCUUAUCUUGAGUAGAUUUCCUUUCCUCGAGUAGAUUACUCUGAUAGAUUUACUGGUAUCAGAGCCUAGCCUUUAGCUGACGCUCAAAACGCUCAAAAGAAAUCACAAGAUGGGAACAUGAAUUGAACAAAUACUAAAAAAGCUUGAAUUUCUAGCACAACAAGUUGAUGCGAGGCAUCAAGAAUAUCUAGUAGAAAUGUCUAUACAUAUAGAAUAUCUAGAGAGAAUUCUAAAUAUAGUCAAUUAGUUGACUAAACUAGAAAGCAAAAUAGACUAUAUUCAAUCCCUCCUAGAAGAAAAAGAAUAACUAUUGGCAAAGAUCAAUAAUAAGAUAGAAGAGCUUAACCGGCAGCAGGUAAAAAUCUUAGAAUAUGUUUAAAAGAUGGUUAGAGAACAUAAAAGGCUAAAAAAUGAGAGUCAAUCUAAGAUAAAUAUCACAAAACUUCAUAGAUUCAAAACACUAAAAGUUCCUCAAGUAAAUUCUUCACCAAGAACUUUCCUUUUUGAACCAACAAUGAGUCUAAGAGUUUUUGGAUCCUCAGAACCUCCAAAGCAUAAAGAUAUAAGAGACAUGAAGAUGAUGAGCAUCUUUGGAAAGAAGAAAGGAGUAUAACUGCUACAGUCCGAAGAAUUUGAAUACAAUGAGAUAGAAAGUAAUGUCAGGAAUUCAGCAAUUCCGAAAUUCAAAUUAAACCAAAUUUAUGAAAGAGGAAAUUUUGAUUUGUUGGAUAGCCAUCAAUUCAAAAUUUUAGAGUUUACCACUCCAGCAACAAUAGGAGAAACAUAUCUACUCUUAGUAACUCUUGAAGAGGUGGCUAAAGCUCGAAAAAUAAAUUAUAAAUUUAUGCAUAUUGGAGCAGUCCAAGUAGACAUAAAACUACUUUUUAGAGAAUGAUUAAAUUGUUCAGUUCUAUGUGUUUUACAAGACAAUAGGCUGAUAGAUUUUCAGAAAAAUUUGCUAGGAACACUUCAAGCAUCUCUAUGCAAUCAAAUUGCAUUCUUCAACUGCUUCCCAAACUUUUCAACAAGCUGAUCGAAUGAUGCUGCUCAGUGUUUAAAGCUGAGAGUCAAAACAAAUGGCACAUUUAUGAAAAAAGGCAUGCAAGAGCUUGCUAUAGUUUAUAGGAUUUACUAUAAACUAAUGAGCACAAUGGUAGAGCCAAGAACCAAGCUAUCAAACAUCCAUGGCCUUACUACUGGAUUUCUCACAAAUCCAAAAAAUCAUUCAGAACAGAUUCAUAAGGUUGCUUGGGACGAAGUAACGGACGAAGUAACAUUUCCAUUAGUGGAAAUUAUCUAGCCUUAAAGAGAAGUCAGAAAGUGCGAGGGCGGCUAUCUAUGAAAAGAGGAGAACAUGAGACAUCAAUCUCAAGUUCGAAGAAAAUAGAAGGAGUGAUGCAACCCUUGAAAGUCUAAAAAGUGACAACUCCAAAUUACUUAGGAGAUGCAAUACUUCUAGAAAAGGAAGUACUUCUAGAAGUACCAAAAUUGUGAUAAAUGAAGAAUCUAUUCCAGGAGUGGAAGAGGAUUUAGAAGAACUUCAUAACGAAAUUAACAUGUGCUAAAGUCAGAAAAACUUUACGAGCUCUAUGAUGGGGCAGAAAACUACAAAGAUCCAACUCGUCUAGACCAACUAAUCGAAGAAAUAAAAAAUUUUAGUUUUGAAAAAAGAAAGGACAAAGAAAAGUCUUUUCCUACCAUGAUGUCAAAAUGGAAGAAGGAGAAAGCUUCUCAAGAUAUUCACAGACUACCAUUAUCAAAAUUGGUAGAGAUACAAAACUUUCUGAAAGAAAAAGGCUGGCAAGAAAAAAAGACGACAAAAACUCUCAAAGGUUUGUUGUAGAACUAAACAUACCAAAAAUGCCAAUAUCACAGCAUGAUAACUUGCACAACAUAUGGAAAGUUUGAGUCACAAGACCUAGAAACAGUCUAUCAAGCUACUCUUACAGGAAUGGCAAAAAAAAAUUAUCUUGCAUGGAAAGAAACCCAAGGGGGUAGAGCAUGGCUAGAAAGCAUAAAAGAUGACAAAUCUCCAACAGCCUUUGCUACACCAAUCUAUGAGCAAUUUUGUGGAGAUAUAUCAUUUAUUGGUAAUAAAGCUAGAGAAACAGCCAAAACCAACAUAUAUGCUUUCAAGAUAUGCAACAUGGCAUAUUUUAAAGGUACUUGAAUGAGUUUCAAGAUUACUACUGUACCAUAAGAGAUUUGGAGAAUAUAGAUUUGAUAUAUCUUCUAUAUAGCAAGCUCCCAGAGCCGUGGAGGACGCUGUAAAAGAAAGCAUAGACGUCAAACCUUUAGAACGACUCUUAGUUGGUGGAGUAGCAGAGAGAAUCAGAGAGUUGAUGUGGAAACAGUGUAAAGCGAACAUAAGAGCCAAAGCUGCCAAUAAAUAGCUCAAAGUAGGGCCGGGCAUAUAGCCCGAAACUAAAAAAAAAUCGGUUGAACCGAUCCGAACUGACCGGUGCGGGCUGGGCUUUUUUCCGGUGUCAAUUUCUUUUUUAAUGGGGCCGAUCCUUAUAUUUUCCGGUCCGGUCCUGGGCCGUUAAGCUAAUAAGUUUAUAAGGCCCGAAAGCCCGACGAAUAUGCAUAUUGGUGAUAAUAUAGAGAUAUAUGUGAAUUUGUACUGAUAUGUAUUCAAUACAGGUGUCAUCAACUAUCAUCACUCAUAAUUCAAUUAUACUCAUCAUCACUCAUCCGUCUCAUACUCAUUCUUUUCAAAAACAAAAAACAAAACCUCAUGUCUCAUUCCUCAUAAAAAAAAAAAAACAGAACUCAUCUGUCUCAUCCUAACGCCAACCUACCUCUUUUGCCACUGUUGGUGCAUCAAGGAUUACAAGAACAAGAAUACGUUUUUCCCAUCAUUCUUAGCAUCUCUGUGUCUCAAGUUUCGAAUGGGUAUGAGUUUCUCUUGACGAACUCCAAUUUUGUGUGUGUGUGUGUGUGGGAAAAGAAGAGAAUUUUGAAACCCAGAAAAAUCGAAUCCCUCUAUCAAAUCACAACACUUUCCCAAUUUUAUUCAAUCUCAAUUCAAAUUUCCAUGUAUAUUUGUCAAUCUCAAUUUGAAUUUUCAUGUUUCUCUCAAUUUCAAUUCAAUCCCUCACAACCAUAGAUCUUACCCAGUCAUACACGAUUCAAAAUGACUAUAGAUUUCCAAAUCUCCAACACUUGUUUCGGGUAGCUCUUUGUGAUUUUUAGAUCCUUAGUCCAUCAGGUAACUCGUCCUCGAAUCUGGAUAUGAUGGGUGAUUGAGCUCGUCGCACACGCUUCAUCGGAGCUAGAUGCGGCAAACUGGAAUAAAGCCCGAAAACGGGCAAGACCGGCCUGGUUAAUGCCGGUCCGGGCUUUUCCCAGUCCUGAGAAUAUUUUCGACAAAGACCGGCUCGAGUGUACAGUAGUCGGUCCGGGUUCGGGCUCUGAGAAUUAGUUGCCGGUCUGGGACCGUGCCCAGCCCUAGCUCAAAGGAGCUGAUAAUUUUUGUACUAAACUCCUAGAAGUACCAACCAAUUGGGGUUGUGAGGAAGAACACAAAAAGAAGAGAAAAGAAAAGAAAUUUCGCAAACGUUUCAGGGGAUCCAAUUUCAAGAAGAGUGCUAACUACAAAAGAGAGAAGCAUAACCCUAAAAAGAGAUUUUUCAAAAAAAAAAAAUACAUCACAUGGAAAAUCAACUUCUCAGGAGUUUGAAAAGAAGAAAGCAUGUAAAUGUUGGUUAUGCAAAGCAGAAGGACAUUAUGCCAAUGAAUGUCCUAAGAAGGAAAAGAGAACUUCAAAAGCUAUUUUUAAAGAAUAUGAAGAGGCCAUAGAGAUGACCAACAUGAAAGGAUUCGAGGUAGUUUACUCUGAGGAAGAAGACAACAUGUUUGUUUACUCAGCCUCGUCAGAAGAAGACUUUUCAGAAGAAUCUAAAUCAGAUUCAGAAGAAGAUUGUAACGCUAGAUAGGUUUACCUUCUCGAAGUCAAAAACUACGAAUAAAACACUACAGAAGAAAUAACUUCUUCUUAUAGUGUAAAACCGAGAACAUUCACCUGCGAUAUUUGUCUUUGUCUUUGUCUUGAAAAGGAUGGUCUUUCCAUAUCAUGUGAAAAGUCAAGAAAGACCUAUCACAAAGAAUGCUUCAUAGCUGAAGCAAGAAAGAAAACAAAGAAUAGUUCAAUAAGUCAACUUGUUGAACAAGAAUAUGAAGAUUACUUCUAUGAAAUAGAAGAAAAAAAACAAAUCUCGAGAACAGAGAUUCAAAGAAUUAAACUUGAAAGAAUACAAUUUGAUAAGACAUUACAGGAGGUAAUAUCAUUCGAUACAACUUCAGAAGAAGUAGUAUCUGUAGAUAAACAAGAGAGUACUUAAGAGACUGAUACUAAAGAGGUGACCAAUAUGACAAGAGAAAUGAUUUGCAAAGAAAAAAUGUGCAAUCCUUUUAUAGAGGUAAAAGAGGAUCUUCCACACCAAAACAUAUGUCAAGUAACGACAGUCUCGACAAGAAGAUUCAGUAACUACAUGGAAUUUGGAUUAAAAUUUUCAGGAUACAAGAAAUAUCAUCUAUAUGCAUUUGUAGAUACUGGAUCUGAAUUUAGCUUAGCAAAGAAGUUUGCUAUACCAGAAGAGUAUUGGACAACAGAUCCGGAAAAAAGUGUCAUUGGAAGAACCAUAGAGGGAAUAGGUCGCAGCAAAAUCAUGGUGACAUUUAUAAGCCAAAAUUUGAUGUGAUCUUACAAUAUAAACAAUAGGCUGUAAGAAGAAGUACUUACAAAAGAAUAAUCUUCAGAAGAAGAAGACGAAGAAGAGAUCAAUGAAGAAAUCAGUUUCGUUCAAGAACAUAAUCUCAAACAUUUUGAAACCAAGCUUGAGAAGCAGAAAAAGCAUACCCUUGGUGAGAUUAAGGAUAUACUAGAACAAAACUUUGAUAUAAACCCCUUGAAGUUUGUAUAGAUGAUACAUGACAUGUCACAUAAGAUUAAAGUCAUAAAUCUUAAGGCCGACAAUUUGGGCCAUGUCGAAACCAACCAACCGAGUACCAACCUAGUUGGUAUACCAGACUCGGUAACAGACUUACUUGGUACGGUAUACCGUAUUGGUCUUGGUAACAUGGUUGAUAUUUGGUAUUGAGAUUUUCGUACUAUCAGUGUACCGUACCAACCAUAUAUGUGUACUUAUACAAAAAUACACUCAUAUCUAUUUAGGAAACGAGAAUUGAACCUCCAACCUUUUACAAAAAACCGUUGCUCCCAACUACUGAAGCACAAUGCGCUUUCAUUAUGGUACAUGCAUAUUUUAUAUUUAUAACAUCCUACAUAUAUAAAUAAUACAAAAUGAAAAGAAUUCGUUGCGGAGAUGAGACUCGAACUUUAAACCUCCUGCAAACAACUCUCACUCCCAACCACUAAAGCACAAGACGUUAUUAUUAUAAUAUAUGUAUUGUUUUAUAUUUAUAACAUCCUAUAGAUAUAAAUACAAUUAAAAUAUAAAAUGUUUAAAUUUUGGCAAGAGGUAUGUUUCGAAACUAUGACUGCUCUGAUGGAAAAUAUGACAACAUACCACCAGACAAAAGCUAUCAUUAAUUGCAUUAUAUUUGUGCAAAAAUUAUAUUUAUCACUAAACUUGGUAGCUAGAGACCUAUUACCAACCGUACCAACCAAAUACCAACCGUAUCAACUAAGUCGGUAUACCAACUUCGGCGGUUGGUUUUAGUAGAGGAUUUUGCCUACCAAUCAUAAGUUGGUUGCUACAUGGUAUUGGUAAACAAAGUCGGUAUUCCUACCAAUGCUAGCCCUAAUAAAUCUUAGGCCCUAUUAAGGUCGUCUAGCACUACUCUUUUGUUAAUUGCAUUGAUAUUACCAAUGCAAAUGACUUAAUUCAAAUGCUUGAUGAUCUUUCCAUCGAUGGCCCUCAUAAGGCUUCUAAAGCUUCUUAUCACCCCAUGCAGUAGUUGCUUGUGCUGACUCCCCCCCCCCCCCUCCCUCAAAAAAAACUACAAGCUCCUAGCUGUUUGGCAAGACAGUGACACCUAUCAUAUGGAACCCCCUCCUUAUAAUCAAGAUCAAUUUUGAUGGCUCAGUUUAUCAGCAGAGCGCAUCAUUGUAACAAAAGUGACGACGGGACAUCCAUAAAGCAACAACUCGAUCUUAAGAACGGUCUGUUAAAAGCAAAAAUGAGCAUCAUUUCACCAAAGUUUGCAUUGAAGGAGACUCGUCCCUAGUCAUUAACUAGACACAUUCACCCAUGCACCAAUGGGAUGUGGAACNNNNNNNNNNNNNNNNNNNNGAGAGAGAGAGAGAGAAUGUGGUUUGUCUUUUCUGGUGCCAAAUUGUAAUUAACAAAAAACGUUAGUACGAAAAGAUAACUUUAAACCGACUAACUGGGACAUUAGUACGGAAAGGUAACUUUAAACUGACUAAGUGGUAGCCACGUUAUUAAUUAAAAGCAGGGAUAAAACCAUAAUUUCCGUAAACAUGAACAAUGAAGCUCCUCACUGGGAAAUAAUAUAUAUAUAGUAAAUUGUGUGACUAGACACCUCAGAAUCUCUUGGAGGCUGAUUCCGAUUAUCAACAAAAUUGCAAAUGCCUUAGCUUGCCAAAGUCACAAUUCUCAUUAUCACACCAUGCUAUCUUAGGAGACUGACCUUCUACCUAAUGUCGGUGUUGCUGUCAAUUUCAGCCUCUUUGGUAUUAGGUAUGUACCCUAACAGUAGAGCUAGGGUGAAAACUCAUAGUGAAACCAACGGCGUGUGGGAACGCGAUGACAAAAACCGUUGAACACUAAAACCCUCGAUUGUCUCUCCCCUCCCCCCCCCCCCCCUACGAACUCCUGGUGCUGCCCUGCCUCAAAAACCAUCCCGACCAAAAACCAAUUCCAGCCAGUCGACCCGAUUCAAAACUACCCAUCUCUGAAUUUUUCUUCUUUUUCGCCGUCAUAGUUGUUCAGGAUCCAAUUCCCUUAUCGCCGGUGAUGCUAAACCCAAUAUCGUCUCGUCGUUGCGGUCCAGCCGACCCUUUUUGAAAUGAUAGCCAGCGAGCCCAAAAUAGCCAACCUGAAACCCACCCAGAUCCACCAAAACGGCGUCGUGCGUUGCUGCCGAAGACCACCACCUAGAUUCAUAUCUUCAGUUUGGAUGACUAAAUUAAGAAAGAAGAUAAAUUUUGGUUGAACUAAUUUUGUUAGACAUGAGUAACAGAUGGGAAAAUUCUUUCUACGUCAAUGAAUUGAGGCUUUACCUCAGAUCACUCUGUCUCAAAGAAUUUCUGUGUUUUUGUUUUUUGUUUUUUGUUUUCCAAACCCCUCGUCAAAAUAUAGAGACUAAGGGCAUCUCCAAUAAGGGGUUUCAAACCUAUACCCAUAGUCAAAACCCAUAAUUUUUAAUCUCCAACCAUCAAACCCAUACCCAUAUAUGAGUUUCCUUCUAUCCAAUCGACCUAAAAUGAGUCGACCUCCAAGGAGGAAAAUCAUAUAUCUUGGCGCGGGACCCACGUCUUGCAAGUGCACAUGAAGGUAGGAGGAAGCAUUGAUUUAACGCGCCAGCCUUUGGGUUUCAUUCGUACGUGCGAAAAAUGAUAAAAUAAUGGGCUGGAAAGUGGGGACGCGCUGUACACGCGUUGGUUGCGUCAGACAAGCGGGUCUAGAUCAGAAUAACGGAUGGCUGAGAUUUGGUUUUGUUUAAAAUGGAAGGUCCAGAUUAGUUAAUUCAUUUCCAAAUAGAAUAAAUUCAUAUAUAAUUAGUGAAUUUCUAAUCUGUCGGUUUUAAAUAUUUGAUAGAUUAAAUUCGACGGCUAAUAAUUAAAAUAUCACAUUUUCAAAGGAAAUAACUUUGAAAAAUAGGGAAAAAAAUUGUUUUUAAUUUUAAUUAGCUCAGCAUAUUAUUUAAAAUUAUUAUAUAUGAUUUAAAUAAUAUAAUUAAUUUGUUGUUCAAUAAUUAUAUGAAAUGAUUAAAAUUUGGGUAUGGGUAUGGGGGGAGAGCUUCCAAUGAGGACCUUAUAAUGAUGACCAAGUGAGGACUUUCAAAUGAAUGGUUGGAUGAUAUGCACAUGGGAAUUAUAAAAUAUCAAUUAAAAGUCAAAAGCUUGAUUCAACCAUUCAUUUGAAAGUCCUCACUUGGUCAUCAUUAUAAGGUCCUCAUUAGAAGCUCUUCCUGGGUAUGAGUUUAUAUAAAUGGUUGAAGAUGAAAUAUGAGUUUAAAUAGGUUUAGAUGAGUCAAAAAAUGAGUUUGGCUAUAUAUGGGUUUUAGGUAAGAUUGUUGGAGAUGCCUUUAGAGGUUUGUCAAGUAGGAGUGAUUGACUCAAUAUGUGGCUGUGGUGCUGCUAUGUCAUCAGAUUAGUUAAAAGUGAACCUUCACUAUGUGGAGGGAAGAAUUUUUGCCUCUUUAUAGUUUUUUUCACUCGUUUUCCUAUAAAAGAAAUCAUUAUUACCCAAUUGUUGAGGUUCAAAUUAAAUAUAUUUUUUUUAACGAAUUACUUUAAUAAAUAAAACUCUAUCAACUAUAUACGAUUCCAUGCCAUGCAUCAGUACGUGAGCUGGCUGAUAUGAAUUAUUUUGCAGUGCAUCAGGAUGAUAAGGAUGAGGCUCGCUCUUUUCAUUAAUUGCUAACUUCAGACAUGUCGUCAAUGUAUUGCUGCUCCAUUGUUCACAGACUCGAAAUCUUGGAAAUGAAGUUCGACUCAAAAACAGAAAUUUUAGCUUCAUUUAUGUAAUGAUUAACACGAUUUGUGGCGUGAAAUAUGGAUCCAGUCUAAUUAACUAGUGCUAGCCUAGCUGCAUGCAUCAUCUGUUUCAGUACAUCUUCACGCUAUCAGUUUUGGUGUUCCAAUAAGAAGAAACAGAUAGGUUAACUGUCCGGCUUGAUGAACCAAUUAGGUAGCUAGGUCAAAAUAGUAUGCGUCAGAUUUCACUAUAUAUAUGCCAGAAAUCCAAGUAAUUGAUCUCAUAAUUUCAUCAACAAUAACCAUAGAACGAGAUUAUUUAUUUAGUAAACUGGUGGAUAUCGAUCAUCAACGAUAACCAUACUUGAUGACAUAUGUCUUGUAAUGUUGGCUACACAAUGCCUCUUAAACAUGAAGCAAGAUUCGAUCGCUUUCUAUAUAAAUGGCCACCACAAUAUGCGAAUUUACAGACUUACUGGUCAGUUUCAUCGACAUAGAUCGAGAACGAUAAGUUCAGAAUAGAAGUUAGGAGAGAGCUAGCUGGAGAUCAGUUUGAAACUUUGAAUCGAUCUAAAAUGACGAAAGGGUACCGGUUGGGAGGGAUUUCGACGGUUUUGGUUAUGUGGACUUUGGGUUUCUUUUAUGUAACUCUGUUAGUGGCGACGGAUUGGAGCUCCAUUUUUAUAGAAAUAGUUGUUCUAAUGCUGAGAUGAUUGUGAAGGAGCUAAUGAAACCGAUUAUACUCACCGAUCCCACCACUUCUGCUGCGCUUCUGAGAUUGGCCUUCCACGACUGCCAAGUUGAUGUACUCGAUCUCCUUCUGUCUCUCAUUUCAAUCUCGUUCAGUAGAACUUAGAAUCAUUAUUAGUUAAUUAUCUUUUUGUUUCUACUUUGCAGGGUUGUGAUGCUUCAGUUCUUCUCAGGGAAGCUGACGGCAGCUCAAGCAUGGAGACAGAAUCAGAUAAGAACUUUGGGAUACGAAAGCUAGAAACGAUCGAUAUGAUCAAAACUAGCCUUGAGCAACACUGUCCUCAAACUGUUUCCUGUGCUGAUAUAAUCCAGUUGGCCGCAAGGGAAGCUAUAUAUCUGGUAUAGUUCUUCAUAGAUAGGUACCAGAGAACAGUAAACUAGUUGUUCAUGCAUGCAGAACAAUUAAGCUAUGAUGUUAAAGCUUAACUAUUAUAUUAACUAAGUAGUCUAAGCUAAACCCUAAUUUCUCAAUAUACUCUGGGUUCUAAUGGUUGUCUAAGACACAUUAUGAUUCUGUUUCAUACUUAAUACCCUAUAAUCUGUUUGCUUCAAUAUUUUGUUUGCGAAUUGCAGACAGGAGGACCAUACAUUGAAAUCUUGACUGGAAGACGAGACUCUUACUCCGGAAGCCGGGAACUCGAAAGAGCUGAUAUAUAACCAACUCCCAUUGGCCAGUAUAUCUAUUGAUGACUGUAUUCAGAUUUUUAGGCAGAAGAACAUUAGUUUGGAACAAGGAGUUGCACGUACUCUUAGGUAUAGAGCUUUACUUUGCCUCUCAUAAAAUUAACAUGCAUUCAUUUAAGCCUUUAUUUACUUGAUCGACUAGUAAUUUGUUUGCUUAUAUAUGUAGGAGCUCAUACUCUAGGAAUAACCCACUGCCGGAACAUCAAUGAAAGGCUUAGGCCAGCAAGUGAUCCAACGUUGUCACUAACCUACUCAUUGCCGCUACAAACUAUUUGUAGCAAUGCUUUACUCUCCGAUACAACAUUUUCUGCAAAUGAUGCCACACCAGUCACAUUUGACAACCACUAUUUCAAUGACAUCGAAAAUGGAAGAGGGCUGCUCAAGAUUGACUCUGAGAUUGCUAGAGACCCGAGAACGAUGCCUUUUGUGAUUCAGUAUGGGAGAGACAUGAAGUUGUUUUUUGAUACAUUUUCCUCUGCCUUUUUGAAGCACUCAAGCUUGAACGUCUUAGUUGGAGAAGAUGGAGAGGUCAGGAGGGAUUGCAAAUAUAGAAACAGCUAGCUAGCUUCAAAACAUUUAGUUAUUUUGGGAUGAUCGCUAGCUGUACGUGUACGGCAUUUUCUAUAUAUUCAAAGACACCUUAUUGUAGGGGACAUCCGGGAUAUGAUGUACGUCAACAUUUCUAGCUAAUUGUUGGCGAAAUUAUUUGCUACUUCAUAUUGAAAAAUCUCUUUCCAGUUUUCGCUGUUCACUUUUAGAUCGAAAAAGGAAAACAUGAUCACUUCGUGAGUAAUUCUGAUUUCAAAUGAUCAUUUGUUAAUAUAUAGAGUCAAAUCGAUCACUUGAUCAAAUAUUGGCCGGAGACAAGCUAUGGUACUGAAAUGUAUAUCCUAUUUUUAUUUUACAUAUACUUGAACAAAAAUUACAAUGUUAUAAAUCAAAUUACAACAUUGAGAACAAAUUUACCAAAUUUAUUUACACUAUUUACAUGAAGUUAAACAAAAUUACAACUAUGAGAAUAGUUUGUUUAAAAAGUUAUAAAAUGGUUAUACAUUUUAUAAUUACAAUUAUUAGAACAAGAUUAGAAACAAUACGACUUAGCGUUAGCACUUUGACUACAAAUAUAUUAUCACAUUUGUAAAUAUAGGUAUCACAUACGAGUAGGUACCAUAAAAUUUCCUCAAAUAUUGUACAUUGAUUACAAAAACCAAUUAACUAUUUGCACCAUACCAAAAACAUCUCAUCGAUCAAAGAGGUGAAAAUUGUGAAGAUAAUAUUAGAAGAAGUAUAAAUUAUAAAACCAAUAGAUCGAAGAACUACAAAUAUAAUGUUUAAUUUCUGGUGUUUUGAAUAUCAACGAGGAUAGGGUUAUCCAGCUUACACUCCACAUGGCAUCUUAUAAGUGAAGCCCAAUAUCCUCCUAAUAGAAUCCACCAUACAGGUGUCAAGCUAAGAUCCAUGCAAAAGAUCAAAUCCACCAUACUGAAACAGAAAACAAAACUAUUACUUAGUCAGAUAGAGUGAGUCGACCUCGAAUUCGAUAAACACCAUGGCAUCUUUGGCAACCUUGGCAGCUGUUCAACCGGCCACCAUCAACGGCCUUGGAGGAAGCUCCCUCUCUAGGACUAAGCUCGUCAUCAAGCCCACUCGCCAGACCCUCAGACCCAGAAAUGUCAGGUACUGUAAAUUACUACGUUUGUAUUUCCAUGCUGUCAUUGCCAUGCUGAUGAAGAACGAAGCUUUACUUUUCUUCUGUGUUUGAGCUUAUUUGUUAUGUGCUGUUGUGUAGGAGUGGUGCUGUGGUGGCCAAGUAUGGUGACAAAAGUGUCUACUUUGACCUUGAGGACCUGGGCAACACCACUGGAAAAUGGGACUUGUACGGCUCAGAUGCACCCUCACCUUACAACCCUCUUCAGGUUUUCUUUCUCUUCACUCUCUUAUUAGGGUUUUAGAAUCAUUGCAUUAUUUGCAUAACAUAUGUGAAAGAGAAAGAACCAAAAUCAUGAAAAAAUUAAAAAAAUAAAAAAAUAAUGCUUUCAUUGAGAGUUGAACUCAAGACCUCCCGCUUACUAAACGGGUGCUCUAACCAACUGAGCUAUGAAAGCUUUUGUUAGUAGCGCCGGAUUUUAUUUACUUAUUGAUCUCACAUUUAAGAUGUCUGGGUUGAUCAAGUGCUUACCGUAGAAAUUUCAUAUUAGUUUUGGGUAUGUUAUUAGACCAAGAUUCAUCGUAUAUUCCUUUGUAGUAUUUAGCCAAUUAAAAGGCUAUGAAAUUGUAGAAAUGCUAACAUAUAUAUGCAUAUGUAGACUGAAGCUUCAAUUAUUACAAGUUACUAGACAUUGGUUUAGUUUAACUUAAUUGUAAACCAUAUGCGACUGCAGAGCAAGUUCUUUGAGACAUUUGCUGCUCCAUUCACCAAGAGAGGUCUGCUGCUCAAGUUCUUGAUCUUGGGAGGGGCUUCCACCAUUGCUUACCUUAGUGCCACUGCCCCAGAUGAUCUUCUACCCAUCAAGAAGGGCCCACAACUUCCCCCAAAGUUGGGACCACGUGGCAAGAUCUGAUUUUACUUCUCUGGGAUUCUCAUCUUAAUUUGAAACAUUUUCAGUGUAUGUAAUGUAAUUUCUUAUUCUCUACUUUUGUACUUGUAAAGUUUGUCUGAUGUGGGAUUAAGACCCUUAAUUGAUUAUCAAGGAUAUCCUUUCCUGUGCAAUCUAGGGAACUCUUUCUGUUCUGCUAUUAGAUUAUUGAUUGACUAUGAUUCUUUAAGGUCAUUUGAUACCAGAUCUAAGGUGUUGGGAUUUUAACCCCACGAACGAACCGAGAUUCAGAAACAGACACACCCAACAACACUGUAAUAAAGCAGAAUAACAAACAGGAAUAAAAAAAACAGUUGACACGAGAUUUAACGUGGUUCGGCAAAUUUCCUGCCUACGUCCACCCCAAGAUAUAGCUCUUCCACUAUAAGAAUAAAACUAGUACAAGAUACAUGAGUUAAAUCUCAUGACCCAAAUCCCAAACCCUUGUACACCCUCACUCAUAGAAUACCCAAGAACACUAUAUCUCACCUAAGAAUUUCCCUCUUAGCACUUUUUUCUCUCUCACUCUCAUGCACAACCCACAAGCUCUCUAUUGCUUGUCUGAUGCUUACUUGAUGCAAACUUGCUUGCAUGCUUCAAAUGGUUUCCAUGCAGCCAAUUUAUAGGCAACAUCCAUUCAUGUGAAAAAGGCCUUUAUCUUCCCUCCUAUUACAAAAGCGGGAGCACACCAUUGAAGACUACCUCUUCACCUUCAAUUUCUACAAACAUCAUAGCUACAUAUCAUAGCUAGCUAUUCACCAAGUCAAUAUUUGUUGCAUCACCUUUUGCAUGGUUUCUAGUUGCAUGAGAAUGAACACCAAUCUCAACAUAAGUUUCUUGAUCAAUGAAGGAAGAAUUUAUCAUCAGAAUAUUUUGCACUCUCUCAUAGAAUUUGGAGCAGAAUGCCCCUGCUGGGGACCAAGUAGUCUUCAAAACUAUAAUUCAUUCAGGCUAAAAAGCCAUUUCUCUACAGAUCAAAGCAUAUGCAAAAUGCUUGACAUACACCCCCAUUGGAUUAUCUCAUUCGUUCCUAUUUACAAAAGGAAGGAACAGAAUGAAAGUAGGCAAGUAAUCAUAGCUCAAAAAAUGAACAAACAGGUAUGAGUUUUACAUUUAGAGGCCAGGAAUGUUGGCUCUUUUAUGUUUUUCCAUAUCUGUUGUUUGCUCUUGAAUGGUUUUGGUUCUUUCUCCUUUCAUCAAUUCCUAUAAGUUCUGUUAGUGGCGUGCCGUUGGACUUCUCAUUCCACCCAAUGUGUCUAGAUAUGACAUCUUCUUGUUGGUCACAAUGUUGGCUAGUUUCUGUAUAUGUGGAUGCUUGACAUCAUUUUCAUCUGCUGCAGCCUCCUGUCCCUUCUUUGCCUCACUAUCACCUUGAUCACAUCCCCAACCCAUGAAAUCCGAUAGUGUCAUUGACGAGGGUGUCUCUGUUCCCCCAUUAUCAUCUUUAUGCAUGGACCUAUCCGGAGAAGUUGAAGGUGAUGAGGGAGUUGUUUCUCCUAAACUGUUCUUUUUACUUGCUGCUGACGGAUUCUGCACACAAUAAUCUGCAUAGAGUACAUCUUCAAUUCGAGACAACACAGUGAAGGCCAAGCUCUCUAGGAUUCUUGAAUAGCUUUCGAGAAUAGCCUGCCCGACAUCCUAUGAAGCCAAGAAAUAAUCUUUGUUAUAGGUUUAUAAGCAUAACCAAGUAUCACAUGGGUAAUCUAAUUGACUACAAACAUGUCAAGAAGUCAAAGAAGUUCUUACUCCAUUGUAUUGAAUUUUACUUAUGUCCAAUGAAGAUUGAGGGAUCCCAGGGAACCUCUGCUUGAGAAGGAGUAAGAUGGUCUCUGCUCUCUCUUCAAAGAGCUCUCUCUUUUCCAAACUCACAGCUGAGCCCCAGCCAGAUUUUCCAUCUUUUUGGUUCAUCUUUCUCUUCCAUAUGACCAUGGAAGCCUCCAUUUUGUUUUUUAAGUCUAGAAUUUUGUGGUCAGAGGACAAGUCCAUGGCACAAAGAAAUUGGUCCGGAUCAAAGAAUUCGACUGUAAUACUCCUAUAGAUUUGGUCACCAAGACUUGCCCUCCCAUUCUACAUAAACCAAACAAACCAAAACAAAUUCAAUAGAGAACCUAUCAAGGGUCUAGAACUGCAUAUUGUAGCAUUCUAAAGAGACUAGUUCUACUUCCCUCUUUCUUUACCUUGGGAAGGGCUUCAAUGUAGUUUUCUGGAAUCUCCAUUUCUGUUAAAACUUGAGCAUUUAUGGCCAUGGCUGCUUUAAGCACUUGGUUGACACAAUCUUUUUGAUACUGCAAGAAUUUUCUUGCCACUUCUGAUAGACCAUCUGGUGGAACUUUUGGAGUUGGUAGCCACCAUUUGUCAUUUCUCUUUCCACUCCCUUUCUCCUUCUCAUCAGCAUCUUUAGAUACAUAGAAGAAUUCCUGAUCGCCUUCGAAGUUAUCUAGACAAUCCUGAUUAUGGUAAGCUUCUGUUAGAGAAAUAUUAUCCAUGGUAGAUUAACCACAUAUUUACAUUGACCACAGGGCAUUAAAGGACAUACAAUAAGCAUUGCAUCAAGCUUUUUCAGGGCAGGAAUGUUCAUGAGGAGAUCUGUCCGUUGCCGGGUCACCAUUAUCUAUCAAGUCAAAAAUCACAGUCUCUUAUCAAUAUGAUGUGAGAUGUGUUGCACAAUGUACGCGUUAGAAGAGAUUAGAUUGUACCUCCAUAUUGGAUCCAUCCUUAUUCUUCUGUUGUGAAGCAACAAACUCAACAAUGUAAUCGGUGACACAUAGCAACCAAUCUAUUUCUUUUCUCCAUCUUGCUUUCCUGUCCGGAGACAUAGGCUCUAAGCGAGUUUGCUCUCCAAAAACAGAAGCUGAAUUGCAGAUGGAACAGAAAUUUACAUGAGGGAUAAUGAAUCAGAAACAUGUAUUUGGUCAUUCCAAUAGAAAAAAAACGAACAGUAUUAUAUGGCAAAAUGCUACCAUCUGAGUUCCUUAUUUCAUUCACAGGACUCUUAAGAUUCACAUUAAAACUAUUUGUACCACAUUUACAUACCGGCCAGGUUUGUAAUGGCAUUGGACAAUGCCAAAGCUGAAGAAACACCCUUUCCUCCGCCGGACAUAUCUUCACCCAAAAGCAAUUUAGCAAACCUCUCCUUCAUCUGUUCUAUAUCUGAAUCAAAAUCCAAACACCGAAUCACAUAAAAACUCGACCAUAUACAAACCAUUUGAUCUCAGCUAGGCAUUACAUGAAACAUCAUGCUUGCAUUGCAACAGUUCAUCAUCAACUCACCAGAUUGCUGCUGCUUUUCUUUGGCUUCUUUGGCAGCCGCGGUGGCUUCCUCCAUGGUCAGCCUUGACUUGAGGCCUCUAGGGUUGGACUGAGUAGGCGUCUGAGUUUCAUCCCCACCAUCGUCAUCCUGAAACUCUAAUGCUCUUGAAGCCUCAAGGCUCAAGCUCUUGGUAUGCCUGCCUGCGGUCUCAUGCAUCUCCCUGAGAUGGUGCAACCUGGUCUUGUGAUUCUCUGGAUUGUCCUCAAUAGCCCGAACCAUUUUCAGCCUUUUGAGAAAGACCUUUAUAGAAUGGACAAGGGAGAACAAGGCAUGAGUGCUGUUCAACCUAUUGGGAUGGGCGGAUGGAGACGGAUCAAUUUUGUCGGCUAAGCUGGAACUCUCUCUGAAGUUUUUCUUGCGUGACAAGGUAAAGAGAGGGGAAGGGUAAAAUGAUUGAGAAGUUUCCCAAUGAUCAGGAAAAAGGGUCGUUGUUGUUCUUGUUAUUGUUGGAAUGGAUGUGGGUAGUCGAUGAUCAUUUUCUCGUUUGAUUUUUUCUGAAAAAAUUAGGGAAAGAUGUGUGUUCUUUGGGUUUUGGGGGGAUUAGGUUUUCUUUUUUUGAUGUCGGAUCAGAACGUGGGGUGCAUGUUGGAUAUUUUUUGAUGUUGUGGGGGUUUUUGGAUGGUGGAGGUUUUGAAAUGAGCUUGAAUCCCGGAAAGACAGAGGUGCAAAUUUCUAAAUUUCCAGCCCUCUCUCGCCGAACUGGACGGUUCUGAUAGGUCAAUACCAGUUCCUCCUUUGGAAGUCAUUUCUUUAUAUAUGAGGAGCCAGAGAAAUAGACAGAGAUCUAGAAAAAGAGAGUGAUUUUCUCUUAUGAUUUUUUGGUCAAGGAAAGAUGGAGAAUUUAGUUCAUCACUAGCUACUUACCCGACAACUUCAUGAUGGAACUCUCCAAGGUCUGGUACGUCAUAGGUUGAGUAGGUUCUGCCUGCUUAUACCACAUAGUCAUUUGGUUUUGAGAGUCGAUCAAUUCAUGAGCAUCCCCAGGACAUGAUAGACACUACCAACCAUUUGGUUUUGAGAGUUUAAUUCAAUGGGUGUUGAUGUUGUGCCGCACUGUAUGACAUGCCUCACAAAUUUGAUCCGUCCAUUACUCAUCUACUAUUUAUUCAAGUAAAUUAAUUUUAUUUUACUUUAAAUGGACAGUAAUAUCCUUAUGUUGUUUUGUCUUUUUCUACCUACUACAAACAAACAACUUAAAAUGAAGAUUUUGGUACUGCUCCAGCUCCUUCUACUCCAAUAGGUGAUAAUAAUCUCCUCAAGAUGCUUAGUAAUCUCCUCAAAAUGCUCAUCUGCUCUGUUCUUUGUUUAUUCACUCACCGAUUUUCAUCUUUUCAUCCUUCCAUCAUGUUCAAAAUGUUGUGAGCCUCUUCCUCAUUCAGAUUUUCCCAAUAGUCAUUAUCUGUUUCAUCUGCUUCCAUGGCUACCAACACCUCCAAGCCUUCUCUAUGAAGCUGCUUAUAAACCUCUUUGGUAGUCUUGCAUUUCCUGACAUUUGAUUCUGGUUGCGGCUUAAUCGGUGCUUGCUAUAGAGCUUGACAUAUUUGUCUUGAUAAUGCAGAUUGAGAUGGCUAUCAUUCUAAAUCUCAUGGUGCACUAUUUGGGUUCCUCUAUAUUUCUGGAUGUCUUCUAUUGUAGGGUUGCUCUCUAGUAUUGGCCCUGCUUCUAGUAUAGUAUAAUCUCCUUUUAUGAUAGUGAUGUUAUGUUUUGUUUGAUCUGGAUAAAUGCUACUAGAGAAUAAUACUAAAGGAAUACUAUUUACUUCUAAGACAUUGCUCUCAUUUCCUCUUAGAUGUUGAACACAUUGCAAAAUAAUGCUCUUAAGCUCAUUUGGAAAAGAAUAAAUAUGAUAAUUAAUCCUGCUGAAAAUAUAUUUUGGUUAGAAAUUCAUGCUCUAUAGUAACACAGGUGUUAGCUGGAUUGUUUGAUUAUCAUGCUCAAAGUGCAAAGUCCUAUGCUCCAUCAUAUUUAUGUUUGCUCCCAAGAUUUUAUAAUUAAUAGCUUCAUUAGGAUGACAAUGUAGUGCUUCGCUAUGAACAUCGAAUCCUGGUGCAAGAUUCUUUAAUAAAUGAAAAAUGAAUUGUUGUAUAGCCUGCUGCAGAUUAUAAAGUUUCCUUUGCUCGUGCUGACAGAAAAUUGCUUUAACAUCUGGAUUUAACAUUUGGAUGCUGCCUAAAAUUAUCUCGCAUUAAAACUUGCAGAGUAUACAUGUUCACAAGCUCAUUAAAAUUAACAGGCCAAUUUAUAUAAUCAUUCAUGUAGUCAUCCCAAAGAUUUUUUGUCAAGACCCACCCCGAAUUUCACCCUGAAACCCGAAGUAAAUCCUGCGGGGACCACCUCCAAGGAAAAUUUACCGAAAAUUCGGCAUAACCUUCCUUGAAAAUGGACAACCCUUCCUAAAAAAAACACCUGCAAGCACUUCUAAAAGUUCCAACUCCAACCUUAACUCCUGGAGCCUUCGUGCUCCCCACAAAUCACAACAUCUCCCAAUAUAGAUUCACUAAUCUAACAAAGAUCCUAUAACCAACAACCACAUAUUCAGAGCAACUCUACUUAAGAGGAGAGGAACUAGAAAUAAAUAGAAAUGAGCGGAAGCUAUACUAUUGACUAUGCCUCUUCUCCAUGUACGCUCGGUCUCACUAUGCUAACCUGCAACUGGGCAUUUAUAAAACGAAGAGCCAAGAGGAAAACAUUUGAAACCGUUAGAGUGAGUGGACAAAAAUAAAUUUAAAAAGAAAUAAAUCUUUAUGCUUUCCCGAUUUAACUUAUGUGGAAAAAUACAAUUAACAGCAUGCAACAAGCUCAAAAGCUUUUAAAAAUUUACCGAAUUUACCGAAACGUGACUAGCCGCGCUAGUCACCAACACUUCAUAAAAAUAGAGCCUCUCAGGCUAAAAUAAAAUAUGUAUGUAUUACACUCGUCAUAUCCCUUGUAUGAAUUUUCUUGAAAUAACAAAGACAAAUAGAAAAUUCACACAAGGCUACGACGCUUGCGUCUAACGCUCGCGUCGCACCAUAAUGGCAUUUUACCUCAUUAUGGUGGAAAAGACGGUGUAUAAAUAUAUAUACGCGCAUAUCCCCUAUAUAAAUUAUUAUAUUUAUAUAGGGCUACGACGAUUGCGUCUAACGCUCACAUCGCACCAUAAUGGAAUUUGACCUCAGUAUGGUGGAAAAGCACGUAUAGCUAGCUAGCAUUUCUUCAUAUACAUAUUAUUCUCAUAAUCAUCCAAAUAUGGAUAUAUAUAUACAUACUCACCGAAAAUCUCAUUUUCGGUAACUCUUCAAAAAUAAUAAAAAUUGCCAAUUGCAAAAGAAGCAAUAACUAUAUGGCUACACCGAAAAUCUCAUUUCCGGUAACUUUCCAAAUAGCGAAGUUAACAAAAAUAAAAUAAGAGCAUUUACUUUCAAAAAUAACUUCGCGAAAAUAAACAAUUCCAUAAAUUGAUAUUCAAUAAAAUCUUUCAUUUAAAAUGAAAUCACCGCAUGCUUAUAAUUUAAAACGAACGUCCACUCACAACUUUAGGCCUAAGCCUGACGUCAAUCCGAGGUCUCUCCAAUUCGAGCCUCCUCACGUCCUGUUCCAAAUAUAUAAUUAAUUUCCCACUAAAAAUCCAAUAAUUAAACAAAAUGGGCAAAAUUAAACGUGAGCCUCCCACACACUCAUUAUUGCCCAACUUCGCCAUUCUUAACUCAAAAUGGCUCAAACUUCACCGAACAUACCGGCAGCCCUAAUUACAACUUCCCCCAGAAAAUGACUUAAAUCCUACGGCCGGAUUUUACAUUAUUCAACCACCAAAAAAUACCACACUUCAGAAAUUCAUAACCCUAUCCAAAACUCAUCCAAAAAUUCCAUAAUUCACUUCAAUAAACACCCCUUAAUAAUCCAAAUUUAAAAACAUUAAAAUCUCCCAACCGGCGACGGCGCCGGUGCCAGCUCCGCCGGUAGCGGUGGCUAGAGGCCGAUUCCGGCGACCUCCAAUGCCCACCAAAUUUUAACAGCAGCUUCUUCUCCACUCCCUCUACAACUUUCCUAACUAGCACAACCACAAAAUUCAAGCCUAGCUAGGGUAAUCGAACACAAACACCUAAAAAGCCCUAGGAUUUCAACUUCGAAUUUCUCUUUACCUUGCUCAAGAAGGAGUGAGCCUUUUGGAGGGAUUGAUGCACGGGAGGAGAGCUUCACAACGAGCCAAGACUCGCCGGCUAUGGCGGCCGGAGGAGGGAGCUCCGGCGAAUGGAGCAACUGGCUGCUAAGGGAGUUUCCUCCCCAUUCGGCGGCGUAACCGGCCUGGUCACCAGCCCAGGCGAGGAGAGGAGGCGGCGGCAGUCCGAACGGGACCGGUGCGGCGACCUGGCUUGGCCGGACGGCGUCGGCGGGCGGAGGAUUCCGACAGAGGAGGAGAGAGCUCGGGAGGGGAAGGAAAAGAAAAGAGAGAAGAAGAAAAAGAGGAGAAGAAGAGCAGAAAAGAGGAAAUAAAAAUGGGGUUUGGGCCUCACUCACCAACGCGGCCCAACACCACAAAUAUUACCCAACUCCACCAAUUUAACACCCCAAAACAAAUACCCUAAUAAAAAUUUUCUUUUACUAGCUAAAAUUUACCAAUUUUUACCGUCGUCAUAAUUUUCUCUUACGAAUAAUUGUCCCUUAAAACCCCUCUAAGGACUAAUUAAAACUAUAAACUCAUUGACGGAGACGGUAAAAUUCUUAUUAUAACCAAGCUAGUAAAUAAGGUAAAAAUUUAAGGGUCGGGAUGUGACAUUUUUUGCUACUUCUGAUCUAUUAUCUUUCACUACUUUUCCUUUCAACAUUAGUUAUUCCAUAGAUAUUGACCUAUUUUUCUUGUUUUUCUACUAAUUUAUUGUAUGUUCCUAACAAAGAAUUAUGCUCUGUAGACAGACAAUCUUAAACAAAAAGGUGGAUGAAGAUUACAUAAACACAUGCUCGAGUAGAUAUGUAUAUAGUUGAUGAGAUAUGUAUAUACAGUCAAGGGAACCUGUUUAUGGUUGAAGAGAUAUGAGAGGAGAUAUGAACAUAUGCAUGAGAAAAUCUAACAGAGAGUUGUUGUGAACUGAGAAAGUUUUAUUGAUACUGGAAAUGUUACAACCUGAGACUACAAACUAAGAGAUGAAGUUUAUAAGAGAGUGAGAGUGACAGGACCCACCCCGAAUUUCACCCUGAAACCCAAGGUAAAUCUUGCGGCAUAACCUUUCUUGAAAAUGGACAACCCUUACAUGAAAAAUCCAACUUAACACUUCUAUAACCUAACAAACCAGCCUCAACACCUGGAGCCUUCCUGCUCCCCAAGAUCGACACAUCUCCCAAUAUAACAAUUACUCAACUCUAAUAAUCCCACAACCAAGAAUAAGGACUAUUAAUAAUUUACUAUUGGACUUUCAGAACAUAUCUAAAGUUGAACGAAAAACAACGAAUAAAGAAUAUGCGGAAGCAGCCUCUGACUAUGCCUCAACUCCAUGUACGCUCGACCUCCUUUAAAACUUAGCCUGCACACUGGGCAUUUGAAACCGAAGAGCCCAGGAAAAAGUAAUAUAAAAACGUUAGAGUGAGUGGACGAAAAAUUAAACAAAUAACUGAUCGCAACAUAACUAACCAAACUUAAUUACUUUCCCAUUUUCCAAUAAUCAAGAAAUCUGUUGCAUGCAAGUGUUGGUAAAACUUUCAUAAAGAAAAUUCCAAGGAAACGGACUAGCCUCGCUAGUCAAAUAUUGAAAAAGAUAAAUAACAACCUUUAUUGAAGAAAAUACCAAAAUAAUGGACUAGCCCCGCUAGACAAAACAACAAUAAACAAUAAACAGAUAUAGCCAUACAAGUGAGCCUCCCAGACAUGGUUGCCUCCCAGGCAAAGUACUCCCAUACUCCCUAUACCUUCAUGUUAUGAUAACAGAGAGGGUGUAGGGCUUGCGUGAUGUCGUCGACUACAUCACAUCACCCGAAGGCGGAAAGGGCUUGAGUAACCCCACUUAAAACGUGGAAGGUACAUCGCCUCGAAAGACGGAACAACAUGCUAGCAUGAAUAAUAACGAUCCAACAAGUAUGGCAUAAAUAAAGAAACAUAAAUCCAUGUGAGUUUCCCCGAAACUCAUAAUUAAAGCAUAAUACGAUUCCCAACCGUACUCAAAGAAUUCAAAAAGUAAAGAAAAUAAUUAAAUUCGAUGACGUGUCCCACACGUUAAAAUGCUCAAUGAAAUAAUUAAUUUAAAUAAUUUUCACCUUUCGAAAACCCGGCAAUAUGCAAAUUUGGAUAUAAUCUCAAAUCCGGAAAUCAUAAAGUAAAUCCAAACUCAAAUCUCAAAUUAUCAAUCUGAGCUCAAAUCCAUAAAUUAUGACCAACAUUUAAUCCAUGCAUCAAUCUCAAAUAAUUUCCAAGAUCAUUUCAUAUGCCGAAGUUAUAAUAUAUGCUCGGAAAAUAAAAUAUUAAUUUAUAAAAUCUUGCAUGCAUAUUAAUUAAAAACCAAAAUGUCCACUCACAGAUUUAGGCCUAAGCCUGACGAAUUCCGAAUCACCACUCAAGCGUGGUCUCCUCGAAUCCUGGCACAACAACCAUGUUUAGGACUAAACUUCAAUUCCGGAAAAUAAUUACGUGAAUAAAAAUAUCUAACUCUCUUCCGUUUAACCCACUACUCUUAUUAGGGUUAAACUCACCGGAUUCACAUCAAACUCCACCACAACCUCAAAUCAUCAAUUCUAACAUUCCAGGCUAAAUACCAAGGAAAUUUAACGGCCGGAUUUUCAUUCUAAUAACCGGCAAAAUCCUUAAUCUUUUAAAAAUCCCAAACCUUAUCAAAACUCCUCCAAAAAUUCCAAACUAUAUUUCAUUAAACUCCUCUCAUUAUAACAAACCUGAAAAUCAACCUCCAAGUGGCGGCGCCGCCGCCUGCCCCGACGUCGACCAAUGCCUCCCAAAUUUUAACAGAAUAAUCCUCUCAUCAUGCACAACAACUUCCAUAACUAGCACUUAGUCCAAUUCUAAGCCUAACUAGGGUAAUCGAAUCAAAACAUCUAAAAAUCCCCCAAUUCAAACCCUAGCUCGAAAAUCCUCCUACACACUUCGAAUUGGAUCAUUACCUUCUAGGGAAAUGUUACACAUGGAGAGCACUUCCCAAUGGAACUGAAAUCACUGGAAAUGGUGGCCGGAGGAGCGAGUUCCGACGUCGGGACUCCACCACGCAGCCGGAGCUUCCGGGCGAGCUCUCUCCCUCACGGUGGCGCUAGGGCAGCUCUCACCGGUCCAGGAAGAAGGCUAGGUCGACGGCCGACCGUUUGGGACAGUGCGCCGGUCUAUGGUGGCCGGACGGCGGUUAUCGGAGCCGAGGAAUCCGGUCAGGGUAGGCUCGGGAGAGAGAGAGAGAGAGAGAGAGAGAGAGAGAGAGAGAGAGAGAGAGAGAGAGAGAGAGAGAGAGAANNNNNNNNNNNNNNNNNNNNGAGAGAGAGAGAGAGAAAAUGAGUUGGGCCUUUUGAGCCCAUUUUUGACCCGGUCCACCAUUUAAAAUCCCACUCCAACAAUAAAACACCUCCAAAAAUAAUACCUACUAAAACAAUUAACCUCUCUUAAUUUACCAAACAAGGUCUACUCUUUUUAUCUAAUAACUUUUUUAUGCUAACUCCGAUUUCAACGUUUAGCAUGUCUACGAACUCGUAUUAACGUCCUCUACAACUUUCAUGAAGAAAGUUUUCCCAAAUUCCAAACGAAAGAAAAAGUCAACUUUUAGAGUCUUAAAUAGUAAACGGUUACUUAAAACAGUAAAAGGUCAAAGUAACCCAAAAGUAAAUAACCGCAAAUUGACUUAAGAACCGGGAUGUGACAGACAGGUACUGAGAUUUUUUCUUCUCUAAGCGUAAUAUCUCUUCUCUUCACUUUGCUUCUAAUACUAGAUGAAGCUGAGUUUUCAAAUUCCACUGCGUAUAUGUACGUGGAUGCAGCAUGCAAUCUCAUGCAAACUCUCAUGCUUAGUGAAACGAUUCUCAUGCUCAGGUACAAACUCUCACAAUGAUAUUAAAAUCCUUACAAACUCUUAUGUAGAAGAGACGAAGUCCUUGGUCAACACGUCUUUUUCGUCACUUGGAGACUCACACAACUACCUCCUUUUACCCCAUUAUGCACUAACCAGUUUGUAUGUUAUACCGACUUGUAUAGCAGAACUAUCUUAAUCCAAUAUAUGAGCAUUUCAUUAGCAAACUAUAGUGUACUACUUUCAAGGCUAGCGUUGGUUUGGUGGGAUUUGUCCCUCUUAUUAUAUUGUGUAGGUAUAUGGUAGAGAGAGAAAAAGUUUGCAAUAUUCAAGCACAAAGAUUUCUUGGUCAAACUUGGAGAAGCAAAGCCUGGGGCAUAACUACUGAUUUACAAAAGUAAAACUGAUCUUAAAUCACACAAGGAAAUCUGCAUUUCAUGCAUAUCAUAUCUUUGUAUUUCUUAAAAUAAAUCUUCUUCUUCAUAAGGAGUUAUAUUUUGAACUUAAAGAAAAUUUUGUCAUUAGAACUCAAGUAAAGAGUACAAUACGAAUCGAUUUGUUGCCAUGCGUACAGAGGACAAGCAAGAUCAUUUGAUUCAUGUGAGGGUUGUAUCCUCAUUAAAAAUUUCGGCUCACAAGGAGCCUAUAAUCUAAUAGCGAAUAUAUCAUAGGAAAAUGUUUCUAACUAAACUAGAGCAAGAAAAUAAAGCUCCCCCAUGUGAAAAGCAUGGACCAAGGGCAAUUGUUCCACAGUAAAAAACAAAGUCAAAAACUGAAAUAGAAGAAAUAGCAAAACUUCACAGAACCUCUUUGUCCUUCACACUAGGGCUUGGGGGCAUUGCAGGUGGAGUCAGAGAACAAGUCAUAUCCUCCUGGUUAACACUUCUUCUCGGUUUCGAAUUCUUGGAAUCAAUGGGACGUCCUCUCUUCUUCUUCUGAGGUUUAGUUGCCACCAAAGUCAUCUCAGUUGGAUCUGGUGUGAGGCCGAGUGCCUUGGCCGGGAGAGUAGCAAGGAAGUCAGGAUGUUUCAUCUUCUUGGUAUGCACAUGAGUUUCAUGUAAUUGUAGCAAGUCAAUCAAUACCUUCAACUUCUUCGGAGAGGUCUCAGGUGAUGAAGGUUUGCCUCGUUUGCACCCUUCUCUAACAAUCAAGGCAUCCUUAGGUUCAUGUUCUGAUGCAUUUUGGUCAAAAGUUUGAUCAGGAUCAUUCACAGGUAUAAGAGAUAGGGCAUCAUCUUCAGGUUCACGUGUCGGCUUCUUUAGAAUGGUAGGGCACUUAUGCAUCUUCUCUUUCUUUUGAUCAAAGACCGAGGUAGCAAUUGGUGUAGAAGGCGAUACCGAACCUUGGAAUUUGAAGGCUCUAUGCACCAGAGCUUUGGAUGCAAAGCUGAUCACAAAGGCAGGGUUUGGAAUGAUGUCUGCAUUACAAUGACCUGCAAUAUUGUAACUAGAGUUUGCUUGGCAUUUUCCAUGUUCAUGGAACACCAAGUUACAAGCAUCACAAAUACCCAAACAAUUUUCAAAGUAAAAAUUAAUCUCUUCAUCAACAUCUGAUGCUAACUUGAUGGUUUUAGAGUUAAGGAUAGGAUCAGAGAGUUUCAUCUCAACCCUAACCCUAACCUUCUUUGAUCUUAUGAAAAGUUUGUCAUCAUACUCGAUAUAACGACCAACAACAGAAGCAAUACUAGGAAAAUUCUCAGGGAUUUCAUACUUAGGUGGUAUGUUUUGAAUACGUACCCAGAAGAAUAAAGAGUCCAUGACGAAGCUCUUGAUUGAUUUGACGCCAUCAUAUGGUUGGAUCACAAUCGGCACCUGCUGGUUCCGCCAGGGUCCUCCUCGGAGAACUUUGUUCAUGUCCUUGAUGAGAUCAAAGCUGAUGAUGAAGAUAUUAUUCGGACGUUCUUGGAUCUAAAAUUUUCUCUCCAAGAUCCAUACCCUUCCACAAAACCGCUUGAGUUCCAUCAGGCUUGGAGGGGUUGAGUUCAGCGGCUUCGCUAUCAAGAAGGAUUGUGCAACACCUUUUUUAAGAGCAGAGAUGCGGUGAGGGAGAUCCACAACCUUUGAAUUAGCAAGCGCCAAGGACGUAGCAAAGGACUUGGUGACAUCGUCGAUCUAUGCAGAUUUGAUCGACGACGAGGAGGCAAAAGACUUGCUCGAAUUCUACAAAGAGGAUGUUGCAGAAGACGAGUGAUUUGGUGUUGGUGAUGGAGAAGAAGAAGGGAGGAUGAUUUCCGGGAGUUUGAAAGUCAUGGAUGCAGUGAGAUUUGGUGAUGGAGCAGCGGCAAUAUUUGGUGGAGUAGGGUUAGGGUUUGGGGAGCGCAGCGGCACUCUUACGGUUUGGGAGAGAGGCGCGGCUAAAUUCAUAUCUAUGAUUGUUUAGGCUUUUCAUAAGGAGUUAUAUGUGAUUAGAUUUUCAUAAAAUAUUUUUGUAAUCUUUUAGGAAAGCUGAUAUCAAGGACGGAGCCAGGAUUCGAAAAUCACCAGGGCUAAAUUUCCUUUGAUAAAAAUUUUAAAAUGUAUGAAAAUAAAUUAUUGAUGCUUAUAUCUACAUUAAGAGCAUGAUUACUAAUGUUAGCCAUUUUUAAUUAAAUUUUAGUUGAAUUAGAUAAAAUGUCAUUUUGGCUAGCGAUUUUCGAAAUAGGUAUGCAUCAAUGUUCUCUACUUUAGGUAGUAUUAAAUUAAUUUUAUUCUUCAAAUGGAUAUUAAAUAGUUUAUGUGUAUUUGUAUAUCACAUAAAAUAUCUUAAAAUGAAUGCAUUAAAUUAUAAAGAGCCUCAUCUUGUUCACUAUAUUCAGCUAGUAAGAUUGUUAAAAGUUAUAAUUGUCACAUCCCGACCCUUAUAUUUUUACCUUAUUUACUAGCGUGAUUAUAAUAAGAAUUUUACCGUCUCGAUCAUUGAGUAAAUAGUUUAAUUGGUCCCUAGAGGGGUUUCGGGGACGAUUAUGUGUGGAGGAUUAUUCGUAUGAGGAAAAUACGACGACGGUAAAAAUGGUAAAUUUUAGCUAGUAAAAGGUAAUUUUUAUUCGGGUAUUAUUUUUCGGGGUGUUUUUAUUUUUGGAAUUUGGGUUGAUAUAGGUUGGACCGGUGGAGGCCCAACCCAUUUCUUUUUCCUUCCUUUCUCUUCUUCUUUUUUUCUUUUCCUCUCCCCGAGCUCUCUCUUCCCGCUGCCCGGUUUUCCGGCCGCCCUCCCGCCGCCGUCCGGNNNNNNNNNNNNNNNNNNNNNNNNNNNNNNNNNNNNNNNNNNNNNNNNNNNNNNNNNNNNNNNNNNNNNNNNNNNNNNNNNNNNNNNNNNNNNNNNNNNNNNNNNNNNNNNNNNNNNNNNNNNNNNNNNNNNNNNNNNNNNNNNNNNNNNNNNNNNNNNNNNNNNNNNNNNNNNNNNNNNNNNNNNNNNNNNNNNNNNNNNNNNNNNNNNNNNNNNNNNNNNNNNNNNNNNNNNNNNNNNNNNNNNNNNNNNNNNNNNNNNNNNNNNNNNNNNNNNNNNNNNNNNNNNNNNNNNNNNNNNNNNNNNNNNNNNNNNNNNNNNNNNNNNNNNNNNNNNNNNNNNNNNNNNNNNNNNNNNNNNNNNNNNNNNNNNNNNNNNNNNNNNNNNNNNNNNNNNNNNNNNNNNNNNNNNNNNNNNNNNNNNNNNNNNNNNNNNNNNNNNNNNNNNNNNNNNNNNNNNNNNNNNNNNNNNNNNNNNNNNNNNNNNNNNNNNNNNNNNNNNNNNNNNNNNNNNNNNNNNNNNNNNNNNNNNNNNNNNNNNNCUGAGAGAGUUACCGAAAAUGGGAUUUUCGGUGAAAUAUAAAUAUGUAUUUAUGAGAGAGUAUGUAUAGAAAAUGCUAGCUAGCCAUAUGUGUCUAUCCACCUUAAUGGCGUAGCAUAUAGCCGCAUUAUGGUGUGACGUGAGCGUUGGACGUAAGCGUAGUAGCCCUAUAUGAGUGUUUAAUUCAUAUAGGGGGUAUGGGCACAUAUUUAUACACCCGUCUGUCCACCUUGAUGGCGUAGUGUAGCACCGCAUUAAGGCGUGACGUGAGCGUUGGACGCGAGCGUAGUAGCCCUAUAUAGACCCAUGAAUUUAUAUAGGGAGUAUGGACGAGUGUAAAUACAUACAUAUAUUAUAGAGUCUGAGAGGCUCGAUAUUUUAUGGGAUAAAGGUUUUAUCGCUUGCGGCAUGCAUUCGAUUUUUCCUUAGAAAUUAAUUUGGGGAAACAUACAUAUUUUAUUUAUUAAUUUAUUUUUGUGUCCACUCACUCUAACGUUAUUAAAUGUUUUCCCCUGGGCCCUUCGUUUUAAAUUGCCCAGUCUGCAGAGUUCGGGUUGGAUCUAGUAGGAGACGAGGCAUAGUCACCCGCUUUUCGGCCAGUUUUCAUCAGUAGGUUACCUGUUCAACCUACUCGUGUUUUCUUGCUUCCGCUUGUGUUUAGUAGCUCUGAAUACUUUAGAAUUUUUGUAUAUUAUGUGAUGUUCGGAAGUGUUGAAUUAAGAGUGUAAGAUGAAAUUUUCCAGUUAGGGUUGUCUAUCUGCAAGGGAGAUUUGCUUAAUCUUUUCAGUAAAUUUUCCUUGGAGGUGGUCCCCGCACGACUUACUCUGGGUUUCAGGGUGAAAUUCGGGGUGGGUCGUGUCAAUAAUAGUUAAACUUUGGCUAGUCUGCUGGAGCUCCUAAAAUACCCAAAAAACUAAACACUUUCUCUAAGAGCAUUUUUAGCAGACUCUCUAUUUUGGAUGCUUAGCUAUUUUAGAGAGCGUGUUUAGCUUUUUUGGAUGUUUUAGGAGCCCCAGCAGACUAGCCAAAGUUGAGCUAUUAUGACUUUUAGCUAUCUCACUAGGUAAAUAUAAAGAUCUUAGAGCAUCUUUAGCAAUGUUAGCCAUUUUUAAGUUAAAUUUUAGUCAAAUUAUCUAAAAUGUCAUUUUGGCUAGCCACUUUAGAAAUGCGAUUGCAUCAAUGCUCUUUAUUUUAGCUAACAUUACAUCAACAUUAUUCUUAAAAUAAAGAUUAAGUAGUUUAAAUAUAUUUAUAUAUCACGUAAAAUAUCUUAUAAGGAAUGUAUUAAAUUAUAGCUAGCGAGCUAGCCUCAUCUGAGUCAUCUCGCUAGCUAUAUUUAGCUAGGGAGAUAGCUAAAAGUCAUAAAAGCAACUUUAGCAGACUCUCUAUUUUAGCUUUUAGCUAUUUUAGAGAGCGUGUUUAGCUUUUUUUGAUAUUUUUGGAGCUCCAGCAGACUAACCAAAGUUUAGCUAUUAUAACUUUUAGUUAUCUCGCUGGCUAAAUAUAGAGAACGAGAUGACUCAUACGAGACUAGCUAUAAUUUUAUACAUUCCUUAUAAAAUAUUUUAUGUUAUAUAUAAAUAUAUUUAAACUAUUUAAUCUUUAUUUGAAGAAUAAUGUUGAUGUAUUGCUAGCUAAAAUAGAGAGCAUUAAUGCAGCCAUAUUUCUAAAGUGGCUAGCCAAAAUGACAUUUUAGCUAAUUUGACAAAAAUUUAACUCAAAAAUGGCUAGCAUUGCUAAAGAUGCUCUAAUAACUAAACUUUGGCUAGUCUGCUGGAGCUCCAAAAAUAUUAAAAAAAGCUAAAUACGCUCUCUAAAAUAGCUAAAAGCUAAAAUAGAGAGUCUGCUAAAGUUUCUAUAAAUGACUUAGAUGAGACUCUUUAUAAUUUAAUACAUUCAUUUUAAGAUAUUUUAUGUGAUAAAUAAAUGGGUCCGGUGUCAAAAUAGAGAGCUGAUAAAUAUGCUCUAAGAAAAUAUUUUUGGCUUCUUAAAACCCGACAUUAAACUAUAAGAGUAUUUCGUCUAAAAAAAACUCUAGCCAUAAGAGUAGAAAUGAUAUUGAAUUUCAGAAGAUAAUCAGAUUCACAUCCCCAAAAUGCCAAUAUCGAUUGAUAUAGAACCCAACAUGUUUUGAGAAUCGAAUAAAAUUGAGGGAAAAGCAUUUGUUGGAAAACUCAAAAAAGAACCUAAAGUUUUGGAGCAAAAAACGUUGUAGUCGAAAGAAAUAAAAAGAAAAGAAGAAGACAAGACUAAUGUUUUGCAAUAUGGACCAAUGACUCUUUUUAAAUAGGAAAAAUUUCAGUUUACUCCCCUGAAAUUUAGGUAUAAAAUCAGUCUGAUACCUCAUAUUUUUUUUUAAUCAAUUUCAUCCCUAAACUUUUAAAAUGACAUCAAUCUCGACCAAAAUGACUAAAAUAACCAUUAUUACGGUUUUCCCUCAAUUACAACCAUCAUUACACCCCAAAAGCAUAAACCUAANNNNNNNNNNNNNNNNNNNNNNNNNNNNNNNNNNNNNNNNNNNNNNNNNNNNNNNNNNNNNNNNNNNNNNNNNNNNNNNNNNNNNNNNNNNNNNNNNNNNNNNNNNNNNNNNNNNNNNNNNNNNNNNNNNNNNNNNNNNNNNNNNNNNNNNNNNNNNNNNNNNNNNNNNNNNNNNNNNNNNNNNNNNNNNNNNNNNNNNNNNNNNNNNGAGAGAGAGAGAGGGUAAAANGAUUAAGUUUUUGAUCUUUAGGUUUAUGCUUUUGGGGUGUAAUGAAGGCUGUAAUUGAGGGAAAACCGUAACAAUGGCUAUUUUAGUCAUUUUGGUCGAAAUUGAUGUCAUUUUGAAAGUUUAGGGAUGAAACUGAUUAAAAAAAAAGAUGAGGUAUCGGACUGAUUAUACCUCAAGUUUAGGGGAGUGAACUGAAAUUUUUCCUUUUAAAUAAAAUAAAAGGUGGAGGUGGCAUAUGUAGAACAUGAUUUGUGUAUAUUCCAAUCCUUCAUUUAGUAUAAUAUAACAGGUUUUGACUUCUUUUAAUUAAUUUUUACUUGGGCUAUUGGUUCAUAUACCUGCUUAUCUACUAUUUUAUUUGAAAUUUUGAGAAAAAGUGUAUGGGUUGUAGCCCAGAGAUAAUUGUACUAUCCAUCGUCCCUAGUUGCUAUGCAUCUAAUAUGAAAAUGAUUUUCUAAAUCUUAUCUUCUUUAACUGAUUUGAUUUUUCAAAUUAAGUUUCCUUGUGUAUCUCAAUCAGUGAUCAAUGAGAUCCGAUUGAGGGGGAGUUGUAUCAGUAUAUAUACGCAUCAAAAAUUU
Molecule: long non-coding RNA, 42326 nt
Filed under: Fragaria vesca (wild strawberry)
Lineage: Eukaryota; Viridiplantae; Streptophyta; Magnoliopsida; Rosales; Rosaceae
Description: long non-coding RNA (FVES_LNC002898)
Source: RNAcentral